Pelobates cultripes (western spadefoot toad) is the source of this 307-nucleotide non-coding RNA. The record is from the annotation of a GenBank genome assembly. NCBI's taxonomy places the organism in Eukaryota, Metazoa, Chordata, Amphibia, Anura, Pelobatidae.
UUGGUUAGCACCAGGACCUGAGUUAGUUCACAUGUACUGAAUAAAGAACCUAAUAAUGCUGCAUGAAUGCUUAGCAGCACAAUGAACUAGCAAGAGGCUUACAUAAGGCAGAACAAUCAGGGCUGGCCUUUGGGGUGUGUGAGCUGUGUAGCCGCACUGGGCACCAUGGUAGCAGGAGUGCCAUGCGGCCAACAAAGCUCGCACAUGUACUGGUUGACAAGUAUGAAGGAUGUGAAGGUAACUGUCUGCCUGCACCUGUGUGUGUGUGACUGUCUGUAACUGUGUGUAUGAAAUUGUGAACAUAGAU